AAUAUAUAUAUAUAUAUAACAUACAAUAUAUACUAAUUACUACAAUACAAUAUACAAUUAAAUAUAUAUUAUAUAUACUAUACUAAUAACUAGUAUACUAUAUAAAUAUAUUUUAUACUGCACUAAUAAAUACUAUACAAGAUAUUGCCUUAAAGAAAAUUCAAAAAAAAAAGUCCGUCAGGCCCACCAACCCCGGCCCGCUAAGCCCAGGACCACAUGUGCUUAGACCCGUCACAUGCUGGUCUCGCCCAUUGAGCCCACGAAGACCGGGACCGCCAGGCCCGGGACCGCCAGAGCCCAGACCCAUGAAGUUAGGGACCGCGAAACCCGGUCUGCGAGGCCCGUUUAGGCACGGACCCGGAACAAAAUACACCCUUACUAUUCCUUUUUAGCAGAAGCUGACAAAAUAGUCAAACAUUAAAUUAAAGGACGAAAGAAAAAAUAAAAUACCAGAAGAGUUUACAAAGCAAAGAAGGCAAAUGACUUAACACUGACUUCAACCUCCAAACAGCCAGACUACAACUUGACUCGCCGGAGACUCGACCUCGACAGAUACCCCCACUCGUACAACAAUACCUCGUCUUUGAACGGUGUUUGGACUGAUUUCAGGUGUUGAAACAGUCAUUUGCAACUGAUUUUGCUGUUGAUUUUUAGGGAGUUCGAGAAAGGUGGAGAUGGCUGGGGUUAGUUUUCGCCGUUUUCCGGUGAGGUUCGGCGAUGGAGGUUUUACGAAAACUGAUUUUUUUGCAUUUGAGCAUAUGUUUUGGGUGUUUUUCCAGCUACGCUUUCAUGGCUAUUUUGGAGUGUUCAUGGCUUGAGAGGGAUGAUUAAGGGGGUGGCUUUGAGGUUUUCUAAGAGGUGGUGUGUUUUUGGGUGAAUGGUUGAUGCUCUCUUCGGGGUAGGUUCUUAGGUCUAUGUAAAAGUUGUGCUCCGCUUCGCUUCUCAAGCCUAUUUUUUGUUCCCUUUUUUCCUUUUUCUUUGGUUAAGUAUUUUCUUUUUAUAGAGAAGAACAAGGACAAAGAGUUAGAGUUGGAAUUGGAGUGGGAGAACGGGGUUGAGAAGAUA
Molecule: long non-coding RNA, 1065 nt
Filed under: Nicotiana benthamiana
Lineage: Eukaryota; Viridiplantae; Streptophyta; Magnoliopsida; Solanales; Solanaceae
Description: long non-coding RNA (NBEN_LNC005295)
Source: RNAcentral